This 202-nucleotide long non-coding RNA is filed under the name Lathyrus oleraceus (garden pea). RNAcentral describes it as "Pisum sativum (pea) long non-coding RNA (PSAT_LNC003425)". Lineage: Eukaryota; Viridiplantae; Streptophyta; Magnoliopsida; Fabales; Fabaceae. The record is from RNAcentral.
UUUUUUUUUUUUUUUUUUAAAACAGGACCAACCUCGAUUCCUCUCUUACAAUUAUGAUGAACCCCAACAUCUUACCGGACCGCACUCUGAUAGUGCACUUAUCUGAAUUCAACCUCAGUUUGAAUUAUCUCAACCAGAUGCCCCUCUUCUGUCUGGGACUUUGCUAUCAUGUCAUAGCAUUCGAUUUCAUGAUAAAUCGUAU